GUCGAGCGGCAGAUGGGAGCUUGUCCCUGAUGUUAGCGGCGGAGGGUGAGUAACACGUGGGUAACCUGCCUGUAAGACUGGGAUAACUCCGGGAAACCGGGGCUAAUACCGGAUGCUUGUUUGAACCGCAUGGUUCAAACAUAAAAGGUGGCUUCGGCUACCACUUACAGAUGGACCCGCGGCGCAUUAGCUAGUUGGUGAGGUAAUGGCUCACCAAGGCAACGAUGCGUAGCGACCUGAGAGGGUGAUCGGCCACACUGGGACUGAGACACGGCCAGACUCCUACGGGAGGCAGCAGUAGGGAAUCUUCCGCAUGGACGAAAGUCUGACGGACACGCGCGUGAGUGAUGAGGUUUCGGAUCGUAAAGCUCU
Molecule: ribosomal RNA, 372 nt
Filed under: Bacillus subtilis
Lineage: Bacteria; Bacillati; Bacillota; Bacilli; Caryophanales; Bacillaceae
Description: bacterial SSU rRNA
Rfam family: Bacterial small subunit ribosomal RNA
Source: RNAcentral